Molecule: ribosomal RNA, 434 nt
Filed under: Enterobacter cloacae
Lineage: Bacteria; Pseudomonadati; Pseudomonadota; Gammaproteobacteria; Enterobacterales; Enterobacteriaceae
Also listed under: 2 other names
Description: bacterial SSU rRNA
Rfam family: Bacterial small subunit ribosomal RNA
Source: RNAcentral
AACGCGAAGAACCUUACCUACUCUUGACAUCCAGAGAACUUUCCAGAGAUGGAUUGGUGCCUUCGGGAACUCUGAGACAGGUGCUGCAUGGCUGUCGUCAGCUCGUGUUGUGAAAUGUUGGGUUAAGUCCCGCAACGAGCGCAACCCUUAUCCUUUGUUGCCAGCGGUCCGGCCGGGAACUCAAAGGAGACUGCCAGUGAUAAACUGGAGGAAGGUGGGGAUGACGUCAAGUCAUCAUGGCCCUUACGAGUAGGGCUACACACGUGCUACAAUGGCGCAUACAAAGAGAAGCGACCUCGCGAGAGCAAGCGGACCUCAUAAAGUGCGUCGUAGUCCGGAUUGGAGUCUGCAACUCGACUCCAUGAAGUCGGAAUCGCUAGUAAUCGUAGAUCAGAAUGCUACGGUGAAUACGUUCCCGGGUCUUGUACACACCG